GCUUAACACAUGCAAGUCGAGGGGCAUCAGUUUGGUUUGCUUGCAAACCAAAGCUGGCGACCGGCGCACGGGUGAGUAACACGUAUCCAACCUGCCUCAUACUCGGGGAUAGCCUUUCGAAAGAAAGAUUAAUAUCCGAUAGCAUAUAUUUCCCGCAUGGGUUUUAUAUUAAAGAAAUUCGGUAUGAGAUGGGGAUGCGUUCCAUUAGUUUGUUGGGGGGGUAACGGCCCACCAAGACUACGAUGGAUAGGGGUUCUGAGAGGAAGGUCCCCCACAUUGGAACUGAGACACGGUCCAAACUCCUACGGGAGGCAGCAGUGAGGAAUAUUGGUCAAUGGACGCGAGUCUGAACCAGCCAAGUAGCGUGAAGGAUGACUGCCCUAUGGGUUGUAAACUUCUUUUAUAUGGGAAUAAAGUUGUCCACGUGUGGAUUUUUGUAUGUACCAUAUGAAUAAGGAUCGGCUAACUCCGUGCCAGCAGCCGCGGUAAUACGGAGGAUCCGAGCGUUAUCCGGAUUUAUUGGGUUUAAAGGGAGCGUAGGCGGAUUGUUAAGUCAGUUGUGAAAGUUUGCGGCUCAACCGUAAAAUUGCAGUUGAUACUGGCAGUCUUGAGUGCAGUAGAGGUGGGCGGAAUUCAUGGUGUAGCGGUGAAAUGCUUAGAUAUCACGAA
Molecule: ribosomal RNA, 669 nt
Filed under: uncultured Bacteroidales bacterium
Lineage: Bacteria; Pseudomonadati; Bacteroidota; Bacteroidia; Bacteroidales
Description: bacterial SSU rRNA
Rfam family: Bacterial small subunit ribosomal RNA
Source: RNAcentral